RNAcentral lists this ribosomal RNA (460 nucleotides) under uncultured bacterium. Its description in RNAcentral is "partial 16S ribosomal RNA". It matches the Rfam family "Bacterial small subunit ribosomal RNA", at positions 338 to 795 of the family's 1533-position model. The record is from RNAcentral.
CCUACGGGAGGCAGCAGUGAGGAAUAUUGGUCAAUGGCCGGAAGGCUGAACCAGCCAUGCCGCGUGAAGGUCAGUGCCCUAUGGGCGUUAAACUUCUUUUGUGCGGGAGCAAUAAUGGUCACGUGUGGCCAGACGAGAGUACCGUACGAAUAAGCAUCGGCUAACUCCGUGCCAGCAGCCGCGGUAAUACGGGGGAUGCAAGCGUUAUCCGGAUUUAUUGGGUUUAAAGGGUGCGUAGGCUGUGAGGUAAGUCAGCGGUGAAAUGCCCCCGCUCAACGGGGUGAAGUGCCAUUGAUACUGCCUGGCUGGAAUGCGGAUGCGGUGGGAGGAAUGUGUGGUGUAGCGGUGAAAUGCAUAGAUAUCACACAGAACACCGAUUGCGAAGGCAUCUCACGAAGCCGCGAUUGACGCUGAUGCACGAAAGCGUGGGUAUCAAACAGGAUUAGAUACCCUAGUAGUC